This 1187-nucleotide ribosomal RNA is filed under the name Sphyraena sphyraena (European barracuda). RNAcentral describes it as "partial 16S ribosomal RNA". It matches the Rfam family "Bacterial large subunit ribosomal RNA", at positions 593 to 2558 of the family's 2925-position model. Lineage: Eukaryota; Metazoa; Chordata; Actinopteri; Sphyraenidae. The record is from RNAcentral.
UUAACCUCGUACCUUUUGCAUCAUGAUUUAGCCAGUAACCCCAAGCAGAGAGCACUUUAGUUUGACACCCCGAAACUAAGGGAGCUACUCCAAGACAGCCUAUUUAUAGGGCAAACCCGUCUCUGUGGCAAAAGAGUGGGAAGAACUUUGAGUAGAGGUGACAGACCUACCGAACUUAGUUAUAGCUGGUUGCCUGAGAACUGAAUAGUAGUUCAGCCUACCCGCUUCUUUGUAAACCAGUAGAGUUAGUCAAAGGGGGUCCAGCCCCUUUGAAUCAAGACACAGCUUUUUUAGGAGAGUAAAGAUCAUAUUAAACCAAAGAAGUCAUGUUCUGGUGGGCCUAAAAGCAGCCAUCCUCAUAAAAAGCGUUAAAGCUUAGACAUAUAUCCCGAUAAUACAAUCUUACCCCCCUAACCUUAUCAGGCCGUCCUAUGCUACCAUAGGAGUGAUAAUGCUAAUAUGAGUAAUAAGAGGGCCCCCUCUCCUAGCACACGUGUAAGUCGGAACGAACCCACACCGAACAUUAACGGCCCCAAAUAAAGAGGGGAGUGGACUAUAACUGGAAAACCCUACACCGUUAACCCCACACUGGUGUGCCACUUGGGAAAGACCUAAAGAAAGAGAAGGAACUCGGCAAACUAGCCUCGCCUGUUUACCAAAAACAUCGCCUCUUGUAGAUAAGAGGUCCCGCCUGCCCAGUGACUACUAGUUCAACGGCCGCGGUAUUUUGACCGUGCAAAGGUAGCGUAAUCAUUUGUCUUUUAAAUGAAGACCAGUAUGAAAGGCACCACGAGGGCUCGACUGUCUCCUCUUUCCAGUCAAUGAAAUUGAUCUCCCCGUGCAGAAGCGGGGAUAACAUCAUAAGACGAGAAGACCCUAUGGAGCUUUAGACACGAAGCAGAUCAUGUCAAUCAACCCGAACAAAGGACCAAACCUAGUGAGACCUGCUACAAUGUCUUAGGUUGGGGCGACCAUGGAGUAACAAAAACCCUCCACGUGGAAUGGGAGUACUCCCAAAAUCAAGGGCUGCGGCCCUAGAUAUCAGAAUUUCUGACCUAAAUUGAUCCGGCAGUGCCGAUUAGCGGACCAAGUUACCCUAGGGAUAACAGCGCAAUCCCCUUUUAGAGUCCAUAUCGACAAGGGGGUUUACGACCUCGAUGUUGGAUCAGGACAUCCUAUUGGUGCAG